GCCUUCAUGGUGUAGUGGUCAGCACGCUCGACGUGUAACCGAGAGGUCUGCGGUUCGAUUCUUGCCGAAGGCA
RNAcentral lists this transfer RNA (73 nucleotides) under Stegodyphus mimosarum. It matches the Rfam family "tRNA". From Rfam's summary of the family: Transfer RNA (tRNA) molecules are approximately 80 nucleotides in length. The record is from Rfam by way of RNAcentral. Lineage: Eukaryota; Metazoa; Arthropoda; Arachnida; Araneae; Eresidae.